This 98-nucleotide transfer RNA is filed under the name Eggerthellaceae bacterium. Its description in RNAcentral is "tRNA-Sec". It matches the Rfam family "Selenocysteine transfer RNA". Lineage: Bacteria; Bacillati; Actinomycetota; Coriobacteriia; Eggerthellales; Eggerthellaceae. The record is from RNAcentral. RNAcentral also lists the same sequence under 1 other name.
GGAGACGGAUGGUUCCCUGGUGGGGCCCGCGGCCUUCAAAGCCGUUGUGAGGCGCGCAGAACGUCUUGGGUGUGUUCGAUUCGCACACGUCUCCGCCA